Non-coding RNA from Schizosaccharomyces pombe (fission yeast), 376 nucleotides. NCBI's taxonomy places the organism in Eukaryota, Fungi, Ascomycota, Schizosaccharomycetes, Schizosaccharomycetales, Schizosaccharomycetaceae. The record is from the annotation of a GenBank genome assembly.
UUAUUCCUCGUUCGUUUUUUGGUUUACUAUUUCAUUUAUCACGAAUAGUGCUACAACUAAUAUGUAAACUUUUACGUUUAAUACUGAUGAAUCAUGUGAGAUGUCGAUUGAAAUCUUUAAAAGAUAUUCUUACGUAUAACUAACUCUCAACUUCUUUUAUAGCCACGGUUGUAAUAUUUCUAUUACAUAGGAUUCAUCUGCAUUAGGACAGUUAAUUUCAAACAAAUGGAUACUUCUGUAGUUUUCUGAAAUGUCUUCUCGAAUUUUUUACCUCUCAUUUAAAUGAAUUAUAAGAAGCUAAAGAACAAUAUAAAUUUUUUGUGUAAUUGGCAAUACUACAUUACAGUUAAGCCCCAAGAAGCGAGUAGAGGCACAU